UUAAACAUCAAAAUUUUUAAAAUUUUUUUAUCUACUAUUAAAAUAAAUCAAUAAUAUAUUGUAAAUGAUUAUUUUUAUAAUGAAAUUAAGUUUUAAAUUAAUGAUAUUAUUUUUUAUGUUUUAUUGAUAAUUUUUGUAAAUAUAAUAAAGAUUGUAUUAAAAAUCAUUUGAUAUUCAUAUUUAAUGUGUUUCAAAAUUAAUUUUAUUUCAUAAUAGAAUUCAAAGAUUCAAUAUUAAUUUUUUUAUAAUAAAUUAUUGAUAUGAUUAUUUAAUAUUUAUAAAGAAUACUAUUUUUAAAAUUUUUAAUUAAAAAAUAUUUAUCAUUUAUUUUUUAAAAUAAAGUCAUAUAAUUAUAAUUUAGAUUUUUUUAGAUUAUAAUUUGGUUUUUUACGGAUAUCAAAUCGAUUCAAUCUUAGAUUCAAAUCAUUUUUUAUUCAAGUUACAACGAAUUCAGAUUGUAUUAGUUUUGAAAUUUUUUAGGAAUCAAAUUUUUCAAUCAAAUUUUUUGGAUUUUAGUUUUUUUUUUUUUACUUUUCUUAGUCAUUUAGGUUGAUCCAAGUUUGAUCACAGAUUGGUUCAGGCAGAAAUUUGAGCUUUGCCAACUUUACGUUAAAUAUAAAUUUUAUAAAAUUUUAAUGAAAAUGGAAAAAUAUAUAUAUGAAAGUCAAUCUUUCCGCCAAAAAAGUUAACUAUGACGGCUAUUGAAAGUCGAAAACAAGGGGUGCUCUCCCUUCAGUUUUGCUUGGGGACAAAAGAUAAGAAUUCCUUGUUCUCUUCUUUUCUUUUUCUCUGUUUUUGCCUAAUGGUUAUAGUUUUAGGCUUUAAUUAAUAACAAAGAUUAGAAAGGGAUAAGAGUAAAAAUUUUAUAAAUAUGAUUAAAUUAUAAAGUACAAAAGUGUUUAUAAAGCCUAACCAUUGGACUCAUCCUUGUCUAUUUCCAUUUUCCUACUAAAAAAAAAAAAAUAGAACCCAUUAAACCAAAAUAAAGUUGGGUUGUUAAUUAAGUUUCUAGUCAUCAAUUGAAACUUUAACAUAAUCCAUUAAGAAAAAGUUAAAAUAAUUAAACCUUAAAGAUUGCCUCUAAGUUUAUAUAAAAAAUAAGAAAAAAAUAAAUGUGAUACAACCAUGUGACUAAUGAAAAUUAACUAUCUCCUAUGAGAUUAGGCAAGUAAUAAUUAGGUUUGUGGGUGUGUCCACCUUUGUGUUAGCUGAAAAGGAUGGAUGACUAAUAACAAAAUAACAUCUAGAAGACAGAAAUUCAAAUGACAAAUACAUUAACUUUUGAGGUAAGAGUAUUUUCCAAGAAAAGAAAAUAUAUGAUUAAGACAAUAUGUGCAUUAGGUGCAUGAAUUGUCUUCUAUGCUUUCUCAUGUUCUCCCUCUUUUGGGAAUAUCAAAGUCAUACCCUUGUUUUUAUAGGUUGUAAAGUGAUAUAUUUGAUGAUCAUUAUCAUGAUCAUGAUCAUGAUGCUUAGUUUAUGCAAUAUUCCAAGUUCCAACCUAACCCCAACUUUAUCUCCUUUCACCGGUAACCAUGUAUCUUCUUUCUCUAUAAAAAAAACUUGUUUACAUGAUAUUUUGAUAUUAAUAUUUCAAAAUAGAAAAGCAUUUUAAGUCAUUUUUUAAUUAUUUUUAUGUCACGUCAAGGGGAUAAGAUAAUCAAGGGGAUAAGAUAUAGGGGAUAACGUCUAGGGUUCGAAUCUUUUCUCUUCUUUGAAGUUAAUUAAUUUUUUGUCUAUUUAAGAAAAUAUAUAUAAAUAUAUUUAUUGUAGGAGGAAGUGACUAACAUUUAUUAAUGCUUCUACUAUAUAUGAAAAUUUUAUCCUAGAAAUUAGAGUUAAAAGGAAAUUAUUAGACAAAAAAUUUCCCAAAAAUCCAUUCUAAGGGCUAGAAAUACUUUCAUAACAUGAUUGCGUCACAAGGUAAACUUCAUUUCCGUAUACAAUUUAAUAAUAUACCACCACAUGUAGACAAAAAUCUUAAACCAAGACUUUUGACAGAGGACAUCUAGCCACCUUCAUCCAUUUUUUUUGGGUCCGCUCCUCUCCGGUCUAAUGUAAGGAUAUAAGAGUAGCCGGAUCCCCUCUUUUCAUUCAUGUUAUUAACAAUGUUAAUGCUCCCCUGUGUAUGGCUUUUAUCUUCCUUUAAUUUGGUAUUUAUUAUCUAUUUAUCUUACUUUGACUUAACAUUAAAUCCAUUUAUCCCAAAGCAUCAAAUUAAUUUCACAAAUCUCAUGUCUAAUCAUGCAGCCAAUUGCAUCUUCCUAAUACUGUAUGCAAAUAAAAAUUAUCUUUGAUUAUAAUUGCUCCACUUAAACUUAACUCUGAGUCAAGUCUUAGCAUGUCUAAUUUUAUUCUACUUUAUAUUGGAUUUAUUUAACAAUAUAUUGAUUCAUUAAUUACUUUAUUUAAUUAAUUUAUUAAAAAUUUUAUACGAAAUUUGAUAUUUUGUUAUGAUUGUAACUUCUUUGUAUUAAUAACUUUAUUAAAAAAAUAUUGGGACGGAUGGGGAUGGAGUUGUAAUUCUAUAAAUUAUAUAAAUUGCCAGAGACAAAAAGAAUAACGAAGUCAAGAAAGAAAUUAAAUAAUUAAGAACUUGCAACGGCAUACACAAUUUAUGAUUCUUUUCAUCGGAAUUUAGUUUGAUCAUCAUAUCAAAUAGUGUGAUAAAUGAAUCAGAAAAUAUCAAUUAGGAUUCCAUGCAUUUUUUGCAAUACUAAUACGAAGGAUUAAAUGGUACAAACGAAAAGAUUUUAUAUGAAUUAAUCACGUGAAAAAUGCACACCUAUUGGGUUUGAAUUUUCGAAAGCUUUGCAUACCAUGUGGUAUAUAAAUGAAGGCAACAUUUAAGUAACACGUUUUGCAUCAUCACAUGGGAAAAUAAUAAAGAAAUCAAAACCCUAUCUACUAUUUCUUUGUCACCCCCCUUAUAUAUUAUUGUCAUUUUCUUAUUUAAGGUAAAUAUCAUAUUUAUCACCAUCUUCAAAAAAAAAAAAAAAAAAAACUUCAAUUUCACUUUCAACCAAUCCACUAACCCUCAUUGUUUUUUUUUUUUUUAAUUUUCUUUCCUUAUAUAUAUAAUAAAAAUUUACUUUACAAUUGGUUUAUUCUUUAAAAAGAAAUUUUAAAUUGAACUUCAUUUUUAAGUUUCAAAGAAAAGUUUUCCGAUUUAAAAAAUAAAAUCCCAUUUUUUAAAUAUUUAAAAUUAUAAAAAAUUAAAUUCUGAAAUUAGAAAUUUUGUACUCCACCCACGUAUCAUUACGUUGCAGUCUACAAAAUCUCAUUAUUUUCACUAUAAUGAAAUUUGCGAAAAAAAUUUUAAUAAAUUUACUGUCGUGUUUUUUUCAUGAACAGAGAUUAAUUUGAAGCUUUUGGGGGUUUUUGUUGCUAGUUGUAUCAACAAUUUUGUCAUAAUAAUGCUGAGCUUGGCCUGGACGCCAUUACCGGUGACGUAAAACAAAAGAGAUAUUGUUUUUGUUGUCCUCCUAUCGGUAAAAAAUCAAAGCUACCUUUUUUUUUUUUUUAAUUUCAACUUUGUAAAUUGAACAUAUGUCCAUCUCAAAUCUGCUUUUUAUCGUUCUAAUUGAGAAAUUGCAUGAAAUACUAGUAUUUUUUUUUCUUAUAUUUUUUUCAUUAGAGAAAGUUAACAUAUAGUUAGAAAUAUUUUAAAUCUUUUGAUCGAAUUGAUAUGUCAAGUCGCUCUUGAUUUACGAGUUUACGUUAAUUCAACCAUCUUAUUAGUCUACAUGUUUGACUCCCUUUGAUAUUGACUUGUCACAUACUUUUUCUAGCUUAACUCAAACUUACCAAGUGAUUCUAAUACUAACGCUGACCUCGAGUAGUAAACCUUUAUCAUGUAAGUAUAAAUAACACCAUCUAAGUAUCAUUUCUACAGCAUGUUUUCCUUACUCUCCUAUUAUCUCCUUCAUAUUCUUUACUUUGAUUGAUCUUUGACUUGAACGUCAGAAUAUAAACACUGGAACUACUCCCAACCUUUAUUCUUAGCCAUUUUCUUUUUUUUUUUUUUGUGAUUUCAGAAUUUUAUCCCUUAAAAGCAAUUUGGCACCAAACAUUUGAUAUUCUAAAUAGGGGGUUUUUGCAUUUAGCAAAGCACAAAACAAAAUGCCACCCAAAAAGAAAGCCACUGAGGAAAAAGAAUAUGUUGCCUUAGCUGGAACAAACACCUAACUCAACCAGUCUAAUUUUGACCUACUUACUAUGGUAGGCCCCUAUGAUGGAACAAUUCAAAGUCAUAACCCAACAACUUCAAUCCCUAAAAAAAAUUAUCCAAAACCUUACCCCACCUCAAAGGCACCUAACCUUACCAUUAUAAAAAACCCAUAGGUCCAAAAGUUAUCAAGCUAUAAUGACAUAGAAGCUUUAUCGACAUUAGGCAAUGACAAAGAAACCAUGCCAAUGACCAAAUACUCUACACAUACCUCAAUAUAGGCCACUACCCAAAAGUCCAAACAAGCCACCUCAAAACCCUAACCAAAUAAACACGUAGAAGCUUGAAUGCAGGCCAUGAAGAAAGAGUUAAAUAAUAAAACCUCAACAUUUGAUGAUAAGUUGCGAUUCUUGGAGACCUUGCCUUUCACCGAAAAGAUUUAACAAGUUAUGCCAUUGAAAGUGUUCAAGAUUUCAACCUUAAAGACAUAUGACGGUACAUUUGAUUUUUUGAUUAUUUAGAGUUUUAUUAGACUAAUAUGAUGAUGCAGGGGAUCGAUAAAGCUUUGAUGUGUAAAAGAUUGGCUACUAUACUUAAAGGGGUAGAUCAAUCAUGGUAUUGUAUCCUAGAGCCAAGGUCCAUUACUAUGUGCAAACAGCUCAGCCAUUUUUUCAUGUCCAGAUUUGUCAACAACCAACG
Molecule: long non-coding RNA, 4864 nt
Filed under: Durio zibethinus
Lineage: Eukaryota; Viridiplantae; Streptophyta; Magnoliopsida; Malvales; Malvaceae
Description: long non-coding RNA (DZIB_LNC000672)
Source: RNAcentral